GUCCUUUUACUUCUCCAAACACAGCGGCUGUGACAUUGGGUGGCUCAACCAACUCCGUGGAGUUAUCGAUUUCUAUUUGUUCAAGACGCUCAGUCAAAGUUGAUUCUUCGGAGCUCAAAUCUCCAUUGGACCCUAUGCUCCUGAAGAUGUGUGGACGUGUUUUCAUUGCUCUUUCCGGAGUGCCGCUUGAUCUCGCCUCUCCGCCCGCUACGGGUGUCUAUACAGAUCUUACCCUCUUACGGCUUCUCAAGUUUUGUCUUUCACGUUUUGCUAGGAGCAGGCGGUAAGAAAAAGCUUGGGAACUAAACCCUAAUAGAUGCCAAUCAGUUCGAUGCCAUUCUAUGGUAUCAGUUUCACGGUGCUGCAUGGCGGAUGCACUGAUAAGUGGGCUCGAACUCUAGUGGGGUCGACGAAAUGAAAGGAAUCCGAUGUCCAGAGCUUCCUCGGAGGCAAUCAAAGACGGCUUGCCAUGCGUUCGUUACAAGCUCCUGAAAAGGGCGCGCGUCGGUUUGCCAAUGCUGGGCGCUACAUGCUGAUCACUACGGACUGUCGCUCUAUGCCAGGAAGACUAGGAGUUGGAGAGAAAGCAGGUGAAGCAUGUCGGGCAACUCUGUUUUGGAGUUGUCUUAGGGAGCAAUCCAUGGGUGGCAAUACCGUGCCAUUGAGGGCAAUACUGUGGGCAUCAUUUAUUACAUGUGCAAGUUGAUCAUCUCGAAUACAACAAAUUGCCUACACACGAUCAUUAACCCGACAUGUCAAUGGAUCCACUCGUCGGAACCAAUAUAAUCUCUCGGUCGUGUCCAGGGACGCCCGUAGUGAUUAUAUUGCAGCGAGGUCCAUUUUCAUUGUCGGGCAGGAUGAUUUAUGCUUGGUCAUUGUCUUCUAUGCAAUGCCAUUCGACCUUUGGCUUGUUGUCACAUUCCGGCACUAGAUCAAUCUUGGCAUGUAAUGGUGAUGUUCGAUAUGCAGACAUUGUCGUUCGUCCACGGUCUUGUGCCUUGUGCUGUCCCGUACAUGCUUCCAACCUCGAGGGACCUGGGACCCUUGUACCUGCUUUCUACCUUGCAACUUCUAUAGUACUUCGUCCCUCUCGGAGGCUAGGUGACACCAAAUCGCGGCACCAGCCACUGAUUUGCGCUUCUAUUGAAGGUCCUGAUCGCCCGUGUUAACCGUCUCUUUGCAAUGUAGGUUGCAAAUAGAUGAUGGGCGCUGGUACAGACUACGGUUUCGGUCGUGGUCCCUCCCUUUGGGGAGAAGAAAGCGGUUUUUGGGGAUGUUCUUUGUCCGCUUUGAAAUGCCCCCCAAUGUUUCGCUACUGCGGGGAGGAAACAAAAACCUGUCCCUGAGGGUACUGUAUCACACACAAGAGGUCGGAUCAAGUGGCGCUGGAAUGUGAAUUGAUAGGCAGGACACAUGUCUGAAAGAUGUAGGGAGAUGGUGCGUUUGAUCCAAGGUUCGACUGGGAUGUCUAGGAGAGGUAAAGGGUCGAUUUCCCCGCGGAGGUUGUGAGGCAUAACAGUGUCAUAAACCGCGUUCACUUGACAAUUGCAUUCCUCAACUGCUCAACUACUUGUCAAAGGUUCUGUGCUACACUGCUCCCACAAACAGCCCGAUGAUCAGCAGUCGCUGCCUUUCAAACCGAGCGAGCCCUUCUCCUCUCCGUCGCGACGCUCAGGAUCGAACCAGCUAUUGAUCGAAGCAUCAUCUGGCAUCGUGAGCUUUGGGGUUCGUACAGGGAAUUUGAUGCGGGACCCCUUAACGGGGAUCAAAGUUUAGGCUUGUCUGCUUGAAUUCUGCUGUUGUCUUCCAUGUCACGAUUACUUUGGAUGCUACUGCUUCUUUCAGGAUCGGGCUGAGUUAGCUACGAAGUGAAGGCGCUCUGUUGAUAUUCACGGUGGCACUGCGUUGAGACUCUGGAUUCCAUACAGGAAGGGGGCUGGAUGUACAGCCUGAAGUAUAGUAGCCGAACAGUUGAGGGUGUUUUUAGUCGGUGGACCUGCCGUUCCUCUUCCGGGGAACGGCCCAAUUUUUUCUU
RNAcentral lists this telomerase RNA (2035 nucleotides) under Aspergillus niger. RNAcentral describes it as "TER". The stretch from base 1261 to 1341 matches the Rfam family "Ascomycota telomerase RNA", at positions 1285 to 1381 of the family's 1858-position model. Lineage: Eukaryota; Fungi; Ascomycota; Eurotiomycetes; Eurotiales; Aspergillaceae. The record is from RNAcentral.